This 1435-nucleotide long non-coding RNA is filed under the name Phasianus colchicus (ring-necked pheasant). Its description in RNAcentral is "lncRNA (ENSPCLG00000012246.1)". Lineage: Eukaryota; Metazoa; Chordata; Aves; Galliformes; Phasianidae. The record is from RNAcentral.
UUCGCUGCUUGUGGAGGAGUUGUGCUUGAGGAGGACUGCUAGCAGUUUGAAGUGUCAGUGGAUUCUAUGGGUAAUGGCUCAAAUAAUUCUUCUACUGAAACCUCAGUCCAACACUAACUUGAUGCAGGAGCAGCAGCGUUAGGCCCAGACAGCUACAUCUUGCAGCAAAUAAAGUAUGCAUUCAUUGAAUAUGACAUUAAAUAUCCUCUAUCAAUUAGCACUCCUUAUUGACCGGUUCAAAAGAAAUUACACAAGUCAGAUGUCUUCUCUAUCUUGAGUGUUUUAAGUAUGUUUAAUCAUGAAUGGCCACCUUACUGAAGUACAUAGCAAUGAAUGGGUCACAAACUCUGAAGUCUGAGUUCAUUUAGAAAGGAUAAAUUAGAAUCUAUUUUCUGAUCUUGGUGAAUUUUGCUGUUGUUUUGACUGUCCUGUUUCCUGCCAUAGAUCUAUGGGGUUUUUUUCUUCCACUAAAGGCACAAGCUAUACACAAAAAAAUAAAGCUGCUCUGUCAUUUCAGUAUCUACUUCCAGCCUUGGUUAUGUGAAAAGCAUUUCAUAUAUAGGAACCAAAGCCACGAGGAGUAGACUUUAUAAAAACACUGUUUUCCUAUGAACAAAUAAACCCAAGUGUCUCUUUGUAAUGCUGCAUUGUAUGGUAUAGCUUAACAACAAACUUACCUUAAAGCAGCCUUUGAUAAAAGGGAGUGACAGUCCUUAGAUACAUGUUGUGUAUGAGCAGAGUCCUGUUUGCUGAGCCCAUAGAGGCAGCUGGCUGAAAAAGGUUAUAAUGCAGAGUGUAUGAAACCGCUUCAGUAUGAACCCCAAGCUGUGCAAUUUUGCAGAAUGCUCAUCACAGGCCAGUCCAUUGUGGGCACUUCUUUCCCAGUAUGAAGUGAGAAUGCUGGCAAUCCUAAGCUGUGCCAUGUCCUGAUAAAAGAUGGUUCUUUUCAACAGGGCUAGGAGAUGGGAGUGGUGAGAGCCCCGAGGGGAUGACCAGCAAUGCUGUAGUUCUGUUCAGCAUACCUGCUGUAUGCACGCCACACAUGCCCAUCUGCCUUUCCUUUUCUUCUCGUCUUACCGCUGCUGUGAAGAUUUUCUCUCCCAUCUUUGUCCAUCUUAUCAUUUCCUCAGUGCAUUUUCAUCAGGAGAGAUCCUCCCUACAUCUUCACUCAGUACCUUGGUCAAGGCUUGUGUGACCCAGAGAGAAAGCAGCUCAAAAUGUUCAUGCUAGCACUCCAUGAGAGGGAGAAAAGUCUGGGCUUUCUCAGGACUUCCCUCUGACCAGCAGAGUCACGUGCACAGAAACAGUACCCUCUGAUUUACGUGGUCAGUUACAGCUUGACAGCAUGGAUGGAGUUUGGUAUAUCCUGUGUCAGUUCACUUUUUACUUCAUCUACCUAUCCACAAAAUAAACAAAAAUAGAGAGAAUGUAGUCA